CGGAGGGGAGGGGCCCGUAAGGAAAAAACCCAAAUCCACCCGAAAAUCCGCGUGCGAGUCCCUGCGGAGGAGGAGCCCCGCAGGAACAGCCCCCUCAGCCGGGAACCUUGCCGGUCCAGGAUCGGUGAGACACCGCUCGUCCCGUUAUUCAGAGGGCGCGUGGUGUCACAGACUCAGAACAUCCCGAGUUGGAAGGGACCCACCGGGACCAUCAGUCCGACCCUCAGCCCCGCACGGGACCCUCCCCAAGAGUCGCACCGUGUACCCGAGAGCGUUGUCCCAGCGCUUCCCGAGCUCUGCCGGGCCCGAUGCUGCGACACGGCCCCGGGGCUGUGCCAGCGCGGCCGCAGCCACAGAACCGCCCACGCGGCCCCCCCGGCGGCUGCGGGACCUUGUGCAACCCGCAUCAUCUCCCGGGAAGGCUCCUGCGUCACGGAGUGGUUUCCCCCCUGGAUGACAUCGGAAGCCCUUAUGCCAGAGCGAGCGAGGAACACGCCCGUGUGAGGUGUCCGUAGGCGGUGCUGCCGCAAGCAGAGCCUCCAGUGACUGGGAGGGGACACGCUGGACUCUGGCCAGGCAGAGGUCACCCCGGCGCUCCCACCCGGGUUUUCAGCCCUGCUGGUGCACAAGUGCCACAAGAACAGCACACUGCACAACCACUUCCUACUGAAGCAUCGUUUAUUAAUCACCUGUAUCAAGCACACAUCUGCUCAGCAAGGGUGCAUGAUGAGAUACAACAGUUGACAUCUAACCCAAAGGGAGGCACGUGGUUACAGGAUCCAGCACAGCAGGAGGAAGUGUACUGAACCCUCUGGAAAGACAACCCGGGUGCAACAUGGUGCCCGUUGUUAGGCUAUGUUGUUAGGAGGCUGAAGACCAGUGAGAAUAAAAUUAGGAAUACAGCUAAAA
Long non-coding RNA from Pipra filicauda (Wire-tailed manakin), 909 nucleotides. RefSeq lists it as uncharacterized. Lineage: Eukaryota; Metazoa; Chordata; Aves; Passeriformes; Pipridae. The record is from RefSeq and is a predicted model, not a curated record. The transcript has 2 exons.